RNAcentral lists this ribosomal RNA (301 nucleotides) under uncultured bacterium. RNAcentral describes it as "partial 16S ribosomal RNA". It matches the Rfam family "Bacterial small subunit ribosomal RNA", at positions 509 to 807 of the family's 1533-position model. The record is from RNAcentral.
CAGCAGCCACGGUAAUACAGAGGGUGCAAGCGUUAAUCGGAUUUACUGGGCGUAAAGGGCGCGUAGGUGGUUAUGUAAGUGAGAUGUGAAAUCCCUGGGCUCAACCUGGGAACUGCAUCUUAUACUGCGUAGCUGGAGUGCAGUAGAGGGUAGUGGAAUUUCCGGUGUAGCGGUGAAAUGCGUAGAUAUCGGAAGGAACACCAGUGGCGAAGGCGGCUACCUGGACUGACACUGACACUGAGGCGCGAAAGCGUGGGGAGCAAACAGGAUUAGAUACCCGCGUAGUCCCUGUCUCUUAUAC